GUCCACACUCAGACCAUUUAAUGUUGAGAAGUUAAUCAGUUAAUUCGCUCGUAUAGUUUCUAAGAUAUUUUCGAUUUUGUUCAUCAUCUCUGCAUGGCCCUGUUGCCGUGUUGGCUUCUUUACUUUUUCGUGUUGUUCGUUUCUUUGUCUUUCUCGGCGGUUCUAUAUGGAUCUGGGCUGAGUAUAGCAACAGGUUCGUCUCCCAAAUCACUUUCUCCGUUUGAACUUGUCUCGAGGUUUGCUUGCAUGAUUUCUGAGUUAGCUUUCUUGUAAAUUUCACCCCAAAUGUUUAUGAUUGCAUUGUAAAGAUCACUUGAAAUGACUUAAUAAUUUCUUUUACAGAAUUUUGGUAACUUGCUUCCAUUGCAAGAUAUUCAACUUUGUUUCAUAUGCAAACAUCACCGGUGUGACAUCACAUCGCAUAAUGACAUUUUGAAAACGCAAUAUUUUACCUUGAAAAAAUAUUUUUACAAACAAAUACAGAGGGUUAAUUACCAGUUAU
Molecule: non-coding RNA, 502 nt
Organism: Paramuricea clavata
Lineage: Eukaryota; Metazoa; Cnidaria; Anthozoa; Malacalcyonacea; Plexauridae
Source: the annotation of a GenBank genome assembly